This 987-nucleotide long non-coding RNA is filed under the name Anser cygnoides (Swan goose). RNAcentral describes it as "lncRNA (ENSACDG00005010682.1)". Lineage: Eukaryota; Metazoa; Chordata; Aves; Anseriformes; Anatidae. The record is from RNAcentral.
GAGAAACCUAUGGGCUUGAAAUGAUUACAUGACUGUGUAUAAGAUUAGAGUUACAGGAUCUGGCAAUUGUGUGUUUUAAAAAGCUCAACCUUUGCGUUCGGAAUUAAUAGCUGUAGCAUCCUAACUAAUCAUCUGCUUUCGUUCUUGUAGUUUUCUUCCGAUUCAAAAAUAAUACAGGCCAUAGGAUACAGUGGAGCUGGCAAGGGCUUGUGUUCCAUUAUGUCACCUAGCAACUUCACAUGCUUCCAAAUAAACAGCCUUAGGUGAAGUUUGAUCCGCUGAAAACAUGUGAAAAGAAACAUUACUUGAAAAGGAAAAGAAACAAAACAAAAUCCCUGUCUACUGCUUACUUUCAGGUGAAGAAACAGACCCAGAUAAAUGAAGUACUCCAAGACCUAAAACAUAUGUACAUGUUCUGCACAAACUGCCACUUUCAUGUCUUGGCUAAGUUGAUCCAAAUGUAAUUAAAUUUUUACACCUUCCUAUACCUGCAAAAUUAAUUUGAAAAAAAAAAAAUGUGCAGGAACAAAGCUUUUAGAUUUUAGAUAAUUUCUGCACCUAAUCAGGACAUGAGUCUUCUAAUAACAUUUUUUAUGACACAGAAUUUUAUAAAAUGACACAAAAAGUCAUAAAUUUGUUUGUUUGAGCCUGUCACCUUUCCAUCCAUAUUGGAAUAAUCAAAGGAAAAGACAAAUCAAAGAUAUGUAGCCUAUUCUUGAUACACUGGUUAAAAAAGUUCUAUCUGAAAUGGUUCGCUACUGCUAACUUUCACCAGUGGCUUGUCUUCUCCUAUAAAUGGGUAUAUAAGAACAAAAUGGACUAAUUUGUAGCACAUUUGACAAUAUGUUGUACCUUGGUCUUAGAAUAUACUGAGCAUCCCGACUUCAUUCAUUUCAAACUGCUUUGGGACUCUAAGGAACACAUUCUGGGUGGGCCCCACUUGGAGUGCUACAUCCAGAUCUGGGGCUCCCUGCGCAAGAAAGGUGU